UCAAUAAUCAAUCAAUCACUGUGACUGGAACAUCAAACAGGCUCCACGUGCACCAUUGAAGCCCUGACUGUGUUUGUCCUGGCUGCACUCACAGAGAGCAAGAGUGAUGACAAUUUUGAACACACAACUCAGGCUCUCGCUUCUUGCAAGGGCAGCUCGUGUAAGCAUGAGAUGUCGUUGUUGCCACGUCCUCUCCAAAGAGAAAAGAAAAUUCCUUAGUGUCUGUCUCUGCCUCUGUGAGGGAGGAGUCCUAUCUAAUUUGUCCGCCACUGUUUACCUCCAAAGGAAUAUCCGUUCUUCCAGUCUCACUAGCUGCUGAAUAUGAAAGUUAAUGAAGCAAAGACCUGUGACUUGACACCUCAAUUGUUGCUUUAAUGAAAGUGUAUACAGACUCCCCAAGCUUUUCUUCUGUACAGAAAGAAUGUUGUCAUAGGAUUCUUCAUAUUUU
This 448-nucleotide long non-coding RNA is filed under the name Homo sapiens (human). RNAcentral describes it as "HSALNT0273817". Lineage: Eukaryota; Metazoa; Chordata; Mammalia; Primates; Hominidae. The record is from RNAcentral.